Non-coding RNA from Acanthosepion pharaonis, 78 nucleotides. The record is from the annotation of a GenBank genome assembly. NCBI's taxonomy places the organism in Eukaryota, Metazoa, Mollusca, Cephalopoda, Sepiida, Sepiidae.
CCGAUUACCGAAGUUAAGCAACGUUGAGCCUGGUCCGUACUUAGAUGGGUGACCGCAUGUGAAUACCAGGUGGUGUAA